ACGAAGGGGGCGAGCGUUGUUCGGAUUUACUGGGCGUAAAGGGCGCGCAGGCGGCGGAUCAAGUCAGGCGUGAAAGCCCCGGGCUCAACCUGGGAACAGCGCUUGGGACUGGUUUGCUAGAGAUCGGGAGAGGAGAGUGGAAUUCCCAGUGUAGAGGUGAAAUUCGUAGAUAUUGGGAAGAACACCGGUGGCGAAGGCGGCUCUCUGGACCGAUACUGACGCUGAGGCGCGAAAGCGUGGGGAGCAAACAGGAUUAGAUACCCUGGUAGUCCACGCUGUAAACGAUGUGUGCUAGACGUUGGGGAGCCUAGCUCUUCGGUGUCGCAGCUAACGCGGUAAGCACACCGCCUGGGGAGUACGGCCGCAAGGUUA
This 372-nucleotide ribosomal RNA is filed under the name uncultured bacterium. RNAcentral describes it as "bacterial SSU rRNA". It matches the Rfam family "Bacterial small subunit ribosomal RNA", at positions 525 to 896 of the family's 1533-position model. The record is from RNAcentral.